Molecule: ribosomal RNA, 462 nt
Filed under: uncultured bacterium
Lineage: Bacteria
Description: partial 16S ribosomal RNA
Rfam family: Bacterial small subunit ribosomal RNA
Source: RNAcentral
AGUGAACGCUGGCGGCGUGCCUAAUACAUGCAAGUCGAACGGAGAUUAAGUAGCUUGCUAUUUAAUCUUAGUGGCGCACGGGUGAGUAAUAUAUAGCUAACUUGCCCAUUACUAAGGGACAACAGUUGGGAACGACUGCUAAUACCUUAUACUCCGUAUCUAUAUAAGUAGAUACGGGAAAGUUUUUCGGUAAUGGAUAGGGCUAUAUCGUAUCAGCUAGUUGGUAAGGUAAUGGCUUACCAAGGCUAUGACGCGUAACUGGUCUGAGAGGAUGAUCAGUCACACUGGAACUGAGACACGGUCCAGACUCCUACGGGAGGCAGCAGUAGGGAAUAUUGCUCAAUGGGGGAAACCCUGAAGCAGCAACGCCGCGUGGAGGAUGACACUUUUCGGAGCGUAAACUCCUUUUCUUGGGAAAGAAUUAUGACGGUACCCAAGGAAUAAGCACCGGCUAACUCCGUG